GCAUGGGGGCACCCUGACCGAGCACGCCGCGUGAGUGAAGAAGGUUUUCGGAUCGUAAAGCUCUGUUGUAAGUCAAGAACGAGUGUGAGAGUGGAAAGUUCACACUGUGACGGUAGCUUACCAGAAAGGGACGGCUAACUACGUGCCAGCAGCCGCGGUAAUACGUAGGUCCCGAGCGUUGUCCGGAUUUAUUGGGCGUAAAGCGAGCGCAGGCGGUUUGAUAAGUCUGAAGUUAAAGGCUGUGGCUCAACCAUAGUUCGCUUUGGAAACUGUCAAACUUGAGUGCAGAAGGGGAGAGUGGAAUUCCAUGUGUAGCGGUGAAAUGCGUAGAUAUAUGGAGGAACACCGGUGGCGAAAGCGGCUCUCUGGUCUGUAACUGACGCUGAGGCUCGAAAGCGUGGGGAGCGAACAGGAUUAGAUACCCUGGUAGUCCAAGGGCGAAUUC
RNAcentral lists this ribosomal RNA (445 nucleotides) under uncultured bacterium. RNAcentral's name for it is "SSU rRNA". It matches the Rfam family "Bacterial small subunit ribosomal RNA", at positions 368 to 808 of the family's 1533-position model. The record is from RNAcentral.